Anas platyrhynchos (mallard) is the source of this 1090-nucleotide non-coding RNA. The record is from RefSeq and is a predicted model, not a curated record. Lineage: Eukaryota; Metazoa; Chordata; Aves; Anseriformes; Anatidae.
GGAAAUAUACUGCGUCCGAUCAGGCAGUAAGACCGUUCCUACAUUACUCUCAGAAACACUAUAUUUUGGCACAAAUAAACUAUGGAAAUGAUUAAAAAACAAUGAUGCUAGACUAAAAGAUUUCUAAUUAGAUCAAUGAAUAUGAAUAUGAUGUGGUAUGUGCCAGUUUAUAUAUAAUUUUGUAAGAUGUAUAAGGAAUGCAAAAAUGUAUGCUUAUGCUAGUAUCCCUAUACAAAUGUUUGCGUGAGAUGAUCUGUUUGCAUAUAUUUAGAUAUUAUUUUUACACUCACAAAGAAUGUACAUUUGUGAGCACUCAUGUCUUUCUACAUAUGGCUGAGCUAUUCCAUUUUCUUUCCUUUCUCUAAAAUUUAAUUUACCUUCUGCUUCCCUCAUAUACAUUUCUUAAAGCAAAACCCUUUUCUGUUUUACAAGGCUGAUAGGAUUUUCUUUCCAGGAUAUUUCAGUAAAAAUUAUCGUCCAAGUCAUUCCAUGCAGUUUAAAACCCCCAAUAUCAAAAUAAAUGUGAAAGAAACUGAAUGAGGAAGGAAAACAGUGCUGCAACUUUUGUUCUCUGAUCAGCAUUUUUUCUGUUCAAGACUUCCUGAGUGGUAAAAUAGCUCAGCCACCCAUGAAGUCAAGUCAGAGGGCAGAAAAUUUUUAUAUUACUCAGAUUUCCUCAAGGGGAUGACCACACUGUGACCUCUUUGCUUUCUGUAAAGCUCUGUGACUCAGAGACGUUAUGAUGCUUCUAUUUUAAAGUUUCUCCAGUGAACAUUCAGGCUUUCCUCUGUGACACUUUUCAACUCAAGGCUUCAUUUCUGGGCUCUGUGAAAAAAGUGGUGCACACAUAGAAGGAGGCAACAGUGUGAAUACAAUUAAAGCAGAAGAAGACAAUUCACCAUCUCAUAACUGAAAAUGUGUGAUCUCUCCAUAUUAUCCUCACUUACUUACCAUGGGCAAGACUUCUUUGUGUAUACUGAAAUGAGAAAGAGGAAAUGAUCAGAGGCAAGGAAUGUAUUUUAAAUUGACAUCUGAUGAGGUAGGCAAAAACAGUUCCAGACUGCAGCAGCUUCAUGGAAGAAGAUUUUCA